UGCCAGCAGGGAAAAGGGGAAAGAGUCUUUCGGGUGGAAUGAUACGUAUGACAAGAUUGCAGCAAACUGUUUCCAGUGCCAGCAGGGUCUGCAGCAGAAAAAAAAAAAAAAGAAAUUAUCACCAUGACCAUUAUGACUUCUUUAGUGAAACUCUGCCAUGAUUUCAAGUGCAGGACUGCAUGUGAUGUGCUCCGAGAAGGCCGCAGAACAGCUCGGCCCUGCGGAUCAGAACUGCAAAACUGAAUCCGAAGCAAAGCAGACGCCACACUGCAGGAUCAUGUGGGAAAUUAUCAGUACAGUAUAAUUAACAGAAGAGCGUAAAUGCAGUAAUUAAACAGCAGAGCUCUUCGUUGACGGUCAGGGAAUCCCCUGGACGGGACGCCAGUCCAUCGCAGGGCGAGGAUCACACACAGUGCCUCGCGCGCGCUCCCGCCGUGCCUCCGCUCCGGACAGACUCCGGACCGACUCCGGACCACCGCGGCCACCGCACUGGUCUAGUGGUCACCGAUCAUAAUGCAUGGACGGUUGGAACUGAACUCUCAAUUGCCAGCUCCUGCGAACACGGAGCCCUGCGCUCAGGGGUCUGACGGAAUUGUUUAUUCUCGGUGUCCCCGGCGCGCGCGCGCGCGCGCACUCACACACACACACACACUCACACAUACACACGCACUCACACUCACUCACUCGCUCCGCAACGCUAUGCACACGCCCCCUCUCCUGCGCGUGGACAGCACCCUUAAAGGCGCCGCGUCAGGGCGGAAAGCCCGCGCGCGCCCCGAAGCCCCGAAGCCCCGGCUCAACAUGGUGGGUCGCGUUCUUCUCCCGGGCUCGGCGCGUGAAGGCCCAGCGCGUGAAGGCCCAGCGCGUGAAGGCCCAGCGCGUGAAGGUCCAGCGCGCUCCAUCACCGUCCAUUUCCGCAGCUGCACGUUACACACAUAGAGGCUGUGCGAUUAACACUGGCGUUUUGCUGAUCUAAUGCAGAAACAAACUACUGUGUGUGUGUGUAAUGCAAGGACGGGUUUAAGCAAUUUUUUAAAUGAAAUUGAAUAUGCCUGUACUCGUAAUAUUUGUAGGGAUUUAAACCACAGUAAAGG
RNAcentral lists this long non-coding RNA (1094 nucleotides) under Scleropages formosus (Asian bonytongue). RNAcentral describes it as "lncRNA (ENSSFOG00015030542.1)". Lineage: Eukaryota; Metazoa; Chordata; Actinopteri; Osteoglossiformes; Osteoglossidae. The record is from RNAcentral.